AUAAUUCUUUUUUAAGGUUCUUAAGGGAAAAAUGGGCUUCUUACUGAAGAAUAUAUACUAAUACAAUUUUUGUGAUGCUUUUGGCUGAGUUGUUUUGCCUAGAAGCACCUUAGCUUUAUCGUAAGAGCCUUUAAUACACAAAUCAUAGAGUAGGAAAAGUAAUGAGCACACUGAAGGCAGUUACACAGUGUAUAGAUCUUGAACUAUGUUAUUGUGUUUCACUUGCAGUUGGAGCUUUUUUUUUUGUUUUGUUUAACGAAGAAAGCACAUAGUGUUACGUAGGACAAAGAACAUGUGUACAGUAUACAUAUAUAUAUAUAAAAAUUAUUAAUGUUAAUUAUAUAAUUUUGUUUUUCCAAAGUUCUGAACAGUGCCUGAUGCUAAAUAAGCAAAACGAUAAUAAAGUGUAAAGUAGGGGGAGAGAAGCAAUGUCUUUGUAUUGCCAAGGUUUUACUAAAUGACUUAAGAUAUCCCUUUUAUGUUUUUGUACUUGAGCAGUCUUGCCAUAGAAAAUUCCCUUUCUUCUCAGCCCCUCUCACUACGAAAUUCCUUUCACUUUGCUGUACUACCUUUUCUUCCUGUUUAGAAGGAAACAAAGCAAAGCCCAGGGUUCCUCCUCUACCACUGUGUACCAGUUCCUCAUUUGCACCUAUUCCUGCCUUAUUUUCUCAUCCUGAAUGCUCACCUGGCUCCAGCCUCUGUAAUUACACUGGAUAAGCUGAUUGUGUGUAAAGAUGUAGCUCCCCUGUACAUGAUAUUGCCAUUCUUAAGGUUUAUAAAUUAUUAACCCGGAGGUUUCUGUGAGCCGAUUGAAAUGACAUGUAACAUUCUGUGUGUAUACAUACUACAUGGGAGAGUGGGGUACACAGCUUGUAUCUGUUUCUCAAAGGGGUCUGGAACACCAGAAAAUAUGGAGAAUGUGGGAGCUGACUUUUAGAUUUCCACCUGUACCACGAUAGUCCCUUUUUUAAAAGAACAAAACUCUUUAAACUCUGAUACUUGGACAGCAGUGAAAGAUGUAUUGAUGACUCGUUUGUUUUGGCACAUAUAAAAUUUAUUGGUACUCAUUUGUUUAUCCCUUAGUUUCGUAAAUGUGUCUGCCAUUUGUGAAUAGUAGAACCAAAGGUCACUAGAAUCCUUUGUUGUGGGGGAAGUGUAGAUCCUACAUAUAACCCAAGCAGAUGUGUAUCACCUAUCGAUGAUAAAAAUCUUAACUUCUAUAAGGAACAUGUAAGAACUAUGUGGUCUGAUACAUUCUAAAAAUUAUAUCUAGAUUACAAAAUGUUCAAAUUAUUAACUUUCAUUUUUUUCUCUUUAAAAACCCAUGGUGAGGACAAGGUAGAGGAAGCAAACACAUUUAGUCAAAUGUUGGGUGUAGUUGUUCUAAGAAAACCAGCUUAUAAUCUUUUCAGAUGAUAUUUAAGUUGAAUAGGUCAGAAAAUAAAAAAAGAGAGAGGACUAUGUAACAAAGUUGGACCCAAAUCCUAGAUUAGCAGAAGCAUUUCAAUGAUCAAUUCAUUCAAACAUGAAUUUAUUUCUUUUUAUAGCUGUCUCCUGGUAAAAUGAUCUGAAUGAAUGAUGCUUGAAAAAUGAUUUUUGCUGUGUAUGUGUAUGUGUGUGUAAAUUGUAAUUUAGCUUAUUUUAUAUGAUCUACUUAGUGUUUUUGUAGAUGUUUUCUUUUUCCAAGAUCAAACUUGGCUAAUGGAAAUACUCUUCUUGGUAUGUUAUUACUGUGUUUAAAGGAAAUUGCAAAUUAAAUAUUAACUUAUUAGCCAGGUACUCUAAUGGAUUAGUUAUAAGCAUAGCUAUAAGAGUCUUGAAAAUGCAAGCCUUUUGUUUUCUUGAGAUUCUAAGACUACUACUUUAUAACCUCAGUGAUUAAAUAGCUUCAUAUAAUUUAAAUUUAGCAAACAAAGAACUGAGGCAUGGCAUUUUAAUAAGGGAUUUACCUUGUGUUGGAAACACAUAGUUAAGUAAAUAUAGUCCUUUGAAAGAGGAUACUUUCAGUGCAUUUUCACAAUUUAAAGAUACUUGUUUUUUUCCUUACAACAGCAUAAAUUAAAAGGUAAGAAUUUCUAUUCUCUAUGUUUACUCACUUUUUUCUGACCCUCCUCAUCAAACCUUUGCCUUGGUUUUAACAUGCCGGGAACUAAAGUGACUGACGUCACGGUUGCACUUUCUUUUAAAAUGUCAGCUGAAAAGGAAAAGGUGUAAUGGAGAUUGAAAAACAGAAAAAUCAAUAUAAUAAAUAUGGUAUCAUUUAGCAGAAGUAAUUAAUGUUAAAUGAAGAGCCUUUGAUGGAGGCUUUGUUUUAUGUCACAUAAAAGCUGAUCAUGUUGAGAUUUUCCUAGAUUCUUUUAGGAAGAAGUUUAUAAUUUUUAGAUAACACAAAAAAGUAUUAUAUUUGGAGGAAUAUGUGUUUGGAUUAUAUUUGUAUAACUGAAGUUACGACUUGGGGGAAACUUCCAUGUUAUAUGUACCAUGUUAAAAGAGAUGUAUAGUCCAGCCAUUUCAUAGUAUAAUGAAUUUAUAUUGAGAGAUAUACCUUAUGUAAAGGAAUCUGAUUAUCUUAACUAUAGAGGAUGAAAAUGAGGGUGAUAAUAUUAAAAAACGUAGGUACUCAUUUCAGUAGAAUAAAUGGGUUUGUCUUGGAUUAUACUAACACUUUUUAACUACAGAAAUGAAUGGCUUCUAAUUUUAAAGGUUUACAAAUGAAGAUUUAACAAAGAACCAUUUUGGUAAGCUCAUUAUAAGAUAAAAGAAAAUGUACUUUUUUGAUUGAAAAGUAUUUGCUAAGAAUUUUCCUCCACAUGUGCCAGAUCUGCUUUGGAACACACACGCCACCCCUUCCUCCAUUAUCUAUUAUAGGAUUAUGGAUGUUUAGAGUAUUUAUGAAUAUAUAACAUUUUGAUUCAGAAUGUUCAAGCUAUAUGAAAUUGUCACUGAAGGUUUUUAAUCCUUCUCCAUAAUAGCAGUUGUUCCUAUUAGGAGCCUGUAAUACUGUGCCUUCUAGAUUGCAAACAAAAAGUACCCCUAACACACACACAGAGUCUUGCUUAAUGUGUGUUUUUUUCAUUGAAAAUAUAAGCAUAUAUAAGAAAGGCUCCUUUACCACAGACUGUUUGAAUUACUAGGUCAUUUAAUCUCUAAUUUCUUGCAUUAGAGAGUUGGGGAAAAGUCAAUUUUUUGUUUUGCUAACAAGAAUAUUUUUAUGUACACACACAUACAUAGGCUACUGAGAUAGCAUUUUUGUAAAUGCUACCAUAUACAUUAGGCUACUUCAAGAAGCUGUCUUUUUGAUUGUGAAAAACAAUUUCAUAGGUUUAUAUGGUUCCUAAGUAUCCCUUUGGCAAAUUACAAUUAAUGGUAGUUUUAUAUUAAGCUCCUGAUACAUUAACAUGUAGAAAACUGUGCCUUAAUAGCCUUAAUACGCCACAGCAUACAUGUGACACCUUGAUGAAUGGCACUGCAGAAAAACAUCACUUUUUUUCUCUCCCAGAUGUCUAUUUCACAGAUGUCCAUCUUCUUCAAGUGAGAAGUUGCUGAUUGUACAUUGAUAUAGUUUUCUUCCAGUUUAUAUAAUGUGCAUAUAUAGAGGGGUACACACAGAAAGUAAUGAAACUAGCAAAAUCAUUUGUACAUUUACAGCAGAUUUUAGUUUUCAUCAGUAUUUUAAGUUCAUCAAAUUACUUCUUAGUACCUUGAAUAACAUUUUCGCAAAUAUACAGAGAUCAUACUUUAUUACAGCAACAGUGGCUUUCUUUGAUUAAUAUAACAUAUAAAAAUGUUUUUAAAAUUUGUCUCUUUUUAUUUCCUUGCCUAACGAGAGUUUUAUUCUGUAGAUCUGAAGUUUACAUGUGAAAAUUAUGGGAUUUGUCACAUUCAAGAUCUUGAUUGAUAGCGGCACUCAGUAAACACUUGCUGCUUGUUAGGUACUAGGCUGAGAACUUCAUCCACGUGACUGAUUUAAUACUCGCUAACCUAAUGUAGUGGGUGCUAGCCCUGUUCUCAUUUUAAAAACAAGGAAAUGACAGGCUCAGAAAGGUUAAGUGAUUUGGCCAGGGUCAGGUAGCAGGUCCAGGAUGUGUUCUGCAAAACCGAAACUUUGCUUUUCCUCUUUAGAUUUCUGACAAGAAGCGUCUUUAUGCGAAGUGUUAUUAUUAACAUUGUUUUUGAGCUUUGUUAGUAGAUAACUUGCCAGUAUCUUCCCAGUGAUCAUAGUGGACCUCCUAGCUUUAACUCAGUUUUGGUGACAUUUGUUGUUUGCUAAUGAUAAACAACUGGUGGGGUAGCCCUGCCCUUCCUGUAGGGGAUGAGAGGUGCUUCAGAUGCCAGAGCAUCCAGUGAGAGAGGAGUGGUGGCCUUGUUCCCAGGUAUCCCAGGAGUACAAAGGGGGCCACUGCCUGGGAAAUUCAGGAAGGCUUUCUUUUGGAUGUUAUACCAGGAUUGAAGUUAAACAGUCAGUUAUCUGAAAAGUAUCAGAGUGGGAGUGGGGUAGAGGGUUCAGAGUGGGAGUAGGGUAGGGGCUUCUCGGCAAAAGAGAUAGACUAAGAAAAGAUGGAGAGUCAGAAACAUUAUGGUAAAUGCAAGGCUUUUAAGCAUGUUGGUGCUUAUGUGUCAGAUUUUGUUUUAAGCAUUCUACUCCAUAGAGUAAACUUAUGGUGCGUGCUGUAGUUUUCCUUGGGAGUUCUUAUCUUUGGCACUCCUCACUUUCCCCAGAAGAUAUAUGGAUCUCACCUUGAGAAACCUGAUGUAUAAGUAGGUAUCCUGAUGUGGGGGAGGGUGAAGAAUCUUUACUAUAGAACAUUUACACUUAGACAAUUUCUCAAAAAGAAAGCUCAUUUUAAACCUUGGAAUGUUACAUAAACAAGUGGUAAUUUAAUUUUGCUCAGUUCUAUUAAAACUGUUAUUGUCGCCUCUGCUGAAAUAAUUUAGUCAUAUUAGUUUUGUGAUAUAUGUAUUUUUAAUAGCAAAAAAUUGGCAUAAAAUAAUCACAUCACUUCUUACUUUCCAUUGCUAAUUUGGAGUGUAAUGUUUUAGUUCUAAUUUCCUGUUUCUCCUAGCUACAAGACAUCUAUUUAAUUUUAUAACUCCAAAAUGAAAAUAUCCUUGAUUAAGAUGAUUCUGUAUCCUUCAUGAUUGAAUGUGGAGCAGUUUUAUAUUUUUUAUAAAAAUAAUUUCAUGAAAUUUGUUUCUUUUGGAGAUACUUUAUACAUGAAUGGCAUUGAAAAAAUCUGUAUUUUAAUUAUUAAUCUUCUAUUAUUGUUUUGUGUCAGGAUCUUGUUACUUUAGGAUAUCUGUCUAGCAGAGGCCUGAACAAAAAAACAUGUCUUGGCAACUGUUUGUCCUGCAGAAGAGUGUAAUUCGUUUUGUUAAUACAAUUCUUUGGAAAAUAUAUACAUAUAUUUUCAAUUAUUUAUCUUCCUUGGGCGAGUGGCUAUGAACAAUGCAAGGGUUAGGGACAUUGACAACCUUACACUAUAGAAAAUACAUGUAUAACUGUUGGCUCCUACCAAACUUAAUUGUUAAUAUCCUGCUGUUGAUCAGAAGUCUUACUAAUAACACAAUUAGCCCAUAUUUUGUAUGUUUAUGUAUAAUGUACUAUGUUCUUAAGUAAGCUAGUGAAGAUGAAAUGUUGUUAAGAAAAUCAUAAGG
Sapajus apella (tufted capuchin) is the source of this 5655-nucleotide long non-coding RNA. RefSeq lists it as uncharacterized. NCBI's taxonomy places the organism in Eukaryota, Metazoa, Chordata, Mammalia, Primates, Cebidae. The transcript has 2 exons. The record is from RefSeq and is a predicted model, not a curated record.